GAUGAACGCUGGCGGCGUGCCUAAUACAUGCAAGUCGAGCGAACAGACGAGGAGCUUGCUCCUCUGACGUUAGCGGCGGACGGGUGAGUAACACGUGGAUAACCUACCUAUAAGACUGGGAUAACUUCGGGAAACCGGAGCUAAUACCGGAUAACAUGUUGAACCGCAUGGUUCAACAGUGAAAGACGGUUUUGCUGUCACUUAUAGAUGGAUCCGCGCCGCAUUAGCUAGUUGGUAAGGUAACGGCUUACCAAGGCAACGAUGCGUAGCCGACCUGAGAGGGUGAUCGGACACACUGGAACUGAGACACGGUACAGACUCCUACGGGAGGCAGCAGUAGGGAAUCUUCCGCAAUGGGCGAAAGCCUGACGGAGCAACGCCGCGUGAGUGAAGAAGGUCUUCGGAUCGUAAAACUCUGUUAUUAGGGAAGAACAAAUGUGUAAGUAACUAUGCACGUCUUGACGGUACCUAAUCAGAAAGCCACGGCUAACUACGUG
RNAcentral lists this ribosomal RNA (497 nucleotides) under uncultured bacterium. RNAcentral's name for it is "partial 16S ribosomal RNA". It matches the Rfam family "Bacterial small subunit ribosomal RNA", at positions 28 to 507 of the family's 1533-position model. The record is from RNAcentral.